AUUGAACGCUGGCGGCAUGCCUUACACAUGCAAGUCGAACGGCAGCACGGGUGCUUGCACCUGGUGGCGAGUGGCGAACGGGUGAGUAAUACAUCGGAACGUACCUUAUCGUGGGGGAUAACGCAGCGAAAGCUGUGCUAAUACCGCAUAAGCCCUGAGGGGGAAAGCGGGGGAUCGAAAGACUUCGCGCGAUUAGAGCGGCCGAUGCCUGAUUAGCUUGUUGGUGGGGUAAAGCCCACCAAGGCGACGAUCAGUAGCUGGUCUGAGAGGACGAUCAGCCACACUGGGACUGAGACACGGCCCAGACUCCUACGGGAGGCGGCAGUGGGGAAUUUUGGACAAUGGGGGCAACCCUGAUCCAGCAAUGCCGCGUGAGUGAAGAAGGCCUUCGGGUUGUAAAGCUCUUUUGUCAGGGAAGAAACACCGGCUCUAACACAGUCCGGGAAUGACGGUACCUGAAGAAUAAGCACCGGCUAACUACGUGCCAGCAGCCGCGGUAA
Molecule: ribosomal RNA, 500 nt
Filed under: uncultured bacterium
Lineage: Bacteria
Description: partial 16S ribosomal RNA
Rfam family: Bacterial small subunit ribosomal RNA
Source: RNAcentral